AGUGAACGCUGGCGGUAGGCCUAACACAUGCAAGUCGAACGGCAGCACAGUAAGAGCUUGCUCUUACGGGUGGCGAGUGGCGGACGGGUGAGGAAUACAUCGGAAUCUACUUUUUCGUGGGGGAUAACGUAGGGAAACUUACGCUAAUACCGCAUACGACCUACGGUUGAAAGCAGGGGAUCUUCGGACCUUGCGCGAUUGAAUGAGCCGAUGUCGGAUUAGCUAGUUGGCGGGGUAAAGGCCCACCAAGGCGACGAUCCGUAGCUGGUCUGAGAGGAUGAUCGGCCACACUGGAACUGAGACACGGUCCAGACUCCUACGGGAGGCAGCAGUGGGGAAUAUUGGACAAUGGGCGCAAGCCUGAUCCAGCCAUACCGCGUGGGUGAAGAAGGCCUUGGGGUUGUAAAGCCCUUUUGUUGGGAAAGAAAAGCAGCAGGUUAAUACCCCGCUGUUCUGACGGUACCCAAAGAAUAAGCACCGGCUAACUUCGUG
RNAcentral lists this ribosomal RNA (492 nucleotides) under uncultured bacterium. Its description in RNAcentral is "partial 16S ribosomal RNA". It matches the Rfam family "Bacterial small subunit ribosomal RNA", at positions 29 to 507 of the family's 1533-position model. The record is from RNAcentral.